UAUUGCACAAUGGAGGAAACUCUGAUGCAGCCAUGCCGCGUGUGUGAAGAAGGCCCGAGGGUUGUAAAGCACUUUUAGUGAGGAGGAAAGGUUAGUAGUUAAUACCUGCUAGCUGUGACGUUACUCACAGAAAAAGCACCGGCUAACUCUGUGCCAGCAGCCGCGGUAAUACAGAGGGUGCAAGCGUUAUUCGGAAUUACUGGGCGUAAAGCGCGCGUAGGCGGAUUGUUAAGUCAGUUGUGAAAGCCCUGGGCUCAACCUAGGAACGGCGAUUGAAACUGGCAGUCUAGAGUUUAGUAGAGGGAAGGGGAAUUUCUGGAGUAGCAGUGAAAUGCGUAGAUAUCAGAAGGAACAUCAGUGGCGAAGGCGCCUUCCUGGACUAAAACUGACGCUGAGGUGCGAAAGCGUGGGGAGCAAACGGGA
This 423-nucleotide ribosomal RNA is filed under the name uncultured bacterium. RNAcentral's name for it is "bacterial SSU rRNA". It matches the Rfam family "Bacterial small subunit ribosomal RNA", at positions 362 to 777 of the family's 1533-position model. The record is from RNAcentral.